GAUGAACGCUGGCGGCGUGCCUAAUACAUGCAAGUAGAACGCUGAAGGAAGGAGCUUGCUCUUUCCGGAUGAGUUGCGAACGGGUGAGUAACGCGUAGGUAACCUGCCUGGUAGCGGGGGAUAACUAUUGGAAACGAUAGCUAAUACCGCAUAACAGUAGAUGUUGCAUGAUAUCUACUUAAAAGGUGCAAUUGCACCACUACCAGAUGGACCUGCGUUGUAUUAGCUAGUUGGUGAGGUAACGGCUCACCAAGGCGACGAUACAUAGCCGACCUGAGAGGGUGAUCGGCCACACUGGGACUGAGACACGGCCCAGACUCCUACGGGAGGCAGCAGUAGGGAAUCUUCGGCAAUGGACGGAAGUCUGACCGAGCAACGCCGCGUGAGUGAAGAAGGUUUUCGGAUCGUAAAGCUCUGUUGUAAGAGAAGAACGAGUGUGAGAGUGGAAAGUUCACACUAUGACGGUAUCUUACCAGAAAGGGACGGCUAACUACGUG
Molecule: ribosomal RNA, 497 nt
Filed under: uncultured bacterium
Lineage: Bacteria
Description: partial 16S ribosomal RNA
Rfam family: Bacterial small subunit ribosomal RNA
Source: RNAcentral